CUGCGGUGAUGGCGUUUCUUAGGACACCUUUGGAUUAAUCAUGAAAACAACUACCCUCUGAGCAGC
This is a small nucleolar RNA of Balaenoptera musculus (blue whale), 66 nucleotides long. Its record names the gene SNORD58. It matches the Rfam family "Small nucleolar RNA SNORD58". From Rfam's summary of the family: snoRNA U58 is found in introns 1, 3 and 6 of the ribosomal protein RPL17 gene in humans. U58 is a member of the C/D class of snoRNA which contain C (UGAUGA) and D (CUGA) box motifs. NCBI's taxonomy places the organism in Eukaryota, Metazoa, Chordata, Mammalia, Artiodactyla, Balaenopteridae. The record is from Ensembl.